CGGUUUGCUUUGGUCUGCCACCUGGUUUAUGUCCUAACGGUGGGGAUUGUUUAGAGGUUGGUGUGUGUACCUGCCGAGAAGGCUUCAAAAAACCAGACUGUUCCGACAUUGACGAAUGCUCGACGGGAGAUAAUGUGUGUGAGGCAGGUUGCCAUAACAACCACGGGUCUUACAGUUGUGACUGUCCAGAGGGUUACCACUGGAAAGCGGCCGAGAAAAAAUGUCUGCCCAUUUGUUUCGGCUUGAUCGGAACCUGUCUAAACAAUGGAAUUUGUAGAGAGCCGGGAGUGUGUGAGUGCAAGGAGGGUUUUGCUCAACCCAGGUGUACUG
This is a long non-coding RNA of Liolophura sinensis, 330 nucleotides long. RefSeq lists it as uncharacterized. The record is from RefSeq and is a predicted model, not a curated record. The transcript has 3 exons. Lineage: Eukaryota; Metazoa; Mollusca; Polyplacophora; Chitonida; Chitonidae.